GACGAACGCUGGCGGCGGGCUUAACACAUGCAAGUCGAACGGAAAGGCCCUGCUUUUGUGUGGUGCUCGAGUGGCGAACGGGUGAGUAACACGUGAGUAACCUGCCCUUGACUUUGGGAUAACUUCAGGAAACUGGGGCUAAUACCGGAUAGGAGCUCCUGCUGCAUGGUGGGGGUUGGAAAGUUUCGGCGGUUGGGGAUGGACUCGCGGCUUAUCAGCUUGUUGGUGGGGUAGUGGCUUACCAAGGCUUUGACGGGUAGCCGGCCUGAGAGGGUGACCGGCCACAUUGGGACUGCGGUACGGACCAGACUCCUACGGGAGGCAGCAGUGGGGAAUAUUGCACAAUGGGCGGAAGCCUGAUGCAGCAGCGCCGCGUGCGGGAUGACGGCCUUCGGGUUGUAAACCGCUUUAGCCUGUGACGAAGCGUGAGUGACGGUAAUGGGUAAAGAAGCACCGGCUAACUACGUG
This 468-nucleotide ribosomal RNA is filed under the name uncultured bacterium. RNAcentral describes it as "partial 16S ribosomal RNA". It matches the Rfam family "Bacterial small subunit ribosomal RNA", at positions 28 to 507 of the family's 1533-position model. The record is from RNAcentral.